Molecule: ribosomal RNA, 491 nt
Filed under: uncultured bacterium
Lineage: Bacteria
Description: bacterial SSU rRNA
Rfam family: Bacterial small subunit ribosomal RNA
Source: RNAcentral
GAUGAACGCUAGCGGCAGGCCUAAUACAUGCAAGUCGAGGGGCAGCGCGGUAGCAAUACUGGCGGCGACCGGCGCACGGGUGCGUAACACGUAUGCAACCUACCUUCAACUGGAGGAUAGCCCGGGGAAACUCGGAUUAAUACUCCAUAACACAGGGAUCCCGCAUGGGAAUAUUGUUAAAGCUACGGCGGUUGAAGAUGGGCAUGCGUUCGAUUAGCUAGUUGGUGUAGGUAACGGCUCACCAAGGCUACGAUCGAUAGGGGGUCUGAGAGGAUGAUCCCCCACACUGGUACUGAGAUACGGACCAGACUCCUACGGGAGCAGCAGUAGGGAAUAUUGGUCAAUGGGCGCAAGCCUGAACCAGCCAUGCCGCGUGCAGGAAGAAGGCCCUCUGGGUUGUAAACUGCUUUUGAUAGGGAACAAAUGCCACUUGCGAGUGGAGCUGAGUGUACCUAUAGAAUAAGCACCGGCUAACUCCGUGCCAGCAGCCG